UGGGGUAUAGCCAAGCGGUAAGGCAACGGACUUUGACUCCGUCAUUCGUUGGUUCGAAUCCAGCUACCCAGCCA
Molecule: transfer RNA, 74 nt
Filed under: Sporosarcina thermotolerans
Lineage: Bacteria; Bacillati; Bacillota; Bacilli; Caryophanales; Caryophanaceae
Description: tRNA-Gln
Rfam family: tRNA
About the family: Transfer RNA (tRNA) molecules are approximately 80 nucleotides in length. Their secondary structure includes four short double-helical elements and three loops (D, anti-codon, and T loops).
Source: RNAcentral